GAUGAACGCUGGCGGCGUGCCUAACACAUGCAAGUCGAACGAAGCACCUUACCUGAUUCUUCGGAUGAAAGUUUGGUGACUGAGUGGCGGACGGGUGAGUAACGCGUGGGUAACCUGCCCUGUACAGGGGGAUAACAGCUGGAAACGGCUGCUAGUACCGCAUAAGCGCACGAGGAGACAUCUCCUUGUGUGAAAAACUCCGGUGGUACAGGAUGGGCCCGCGUCUGAUUAGCUGGUUGGCAGGGUAACGGCCUACCAAGGCAACGAUCAGUAGCCGGUCUGAGAGGAUGAACGGCCACAUUGGAACUGAGACACGGUCCAAACUCCUACGGGAGGCAGCAGUGGGGAAUAUUGCACAAUGGGGGAAACCCUGAUGCAGCAACGCCGCGUGAGUGAAGAAGUAUUUCGGUAUGUAAAGCUCUAUCAGCAGGGAAGAUAAUGACGGUACCUGACUAAGAAGCGCCGGCUAAAUACGUG
This 477-nucleotide ribosomal RNA is filed under the name uncultured bacterium. Its description in RNAcentral is "partial 16S ribosomal RNA". It matches the Rfam family "Bacterial small subunit ribosomal RNA", at positions 28 to 507 of the family's 1533-position model. The record is from RNAcentral.